Labeo rohita (rohu) is the source of this 4023-nucleotide RNA transcript. It is a transcript of the gene named RNA binding fox-1 homolog 2, with no coding region annotated. The transcript is spliced from 11 exons. The record is from RefSeq and is a predicted model, not a curated record. Lineage: Eukaryota; Metazoa; Chordata; Actinopteri; Cypriniformes; Cyprinidae.
AGAGAGUGCAUGCGAGACCGUCUCGUGUCCGCUCCGGUUGGUGUCAUGGCAUCGUGUGGCCGCUAGGUGUCGCGCAAAGGCCACGAACGCGCCUCGCUGUUGUGCGGCUUUAUUUUCCACUGCGAAUCCAGCAGGAACAAACUGUACCGCAUACGAAUCGCAAAAUCAAUAAUGAUAUGUGCGCACCGCUCAUCCCCUCAUAUGAACGCGCGCGCGCGUGAGCGGAUCAGCGCAGAUUUCCAGCAAAGUGGCCCUUUCGGUCGCGUCUGUGUUUUGUCCAAACGUUUUUUCAUACUGAACGCUCAUUAUUGGCUCGUCACACGUUGACGUAUCCCGGUCGCAGCAUUGCGGGCUUAGCGAAGAAAACGCUGAGAUUAUAAAACUAUACAUCUAGCCAGACGUCGUCUCGCGCUGGGUUUUCUAGCCCGAGUUACAAAACACUAAAAAACCGCUUCGUGCUCCAACGGGGGGAAAGGAAAACUGCAGCAGGAAUAAAGCGACGAGAGCGCGAGGAAACCGGAGAGGAGGGGCGCGCGCGUUUCCUCUCCGCCGCAAGAAUCCAUUGAGAGAGCGAGAGGGAGAGAGAGAGAGAAAGAGAGGGAGAAGAAAGGAAAAGCAGCAGCAGCAGCUCCACGCCACUCCUUUGUUUUAGGAAAUCGCUUGAAUCGCUCGAAGGACUGGAAUGAUGCAUCGCGUUUCUCUCGCGUUUUUCCGCGACGCCUGUUUUUGAAGGCGAACUUGACGAUUUUGCGUUUAAUUUCGUGGAAGAGCCUUCGAGACCCGAACCCUUCGGACGCAUAAAGCGUUUCCUUCGCGUUCGCCCUCCAUGCGUUUCGACUCGUGUUUUCCACCGUUUUCCUUCGCACGCCACAGGAUCUGCUGAUCCGCCGAAGCGUUCCAAAAGCGCGUUGGUUUUUCUGCUCGCGGUUCGAGUCUGUUGUUCGCGUCCAGGCCCGAGAAAUUCAUUCGCCGCUCUUCAAAGGCCUUUAAUGCGGCACACGCGCGUCACUCUGUAACGGGUUUCAACGCGUCAGAUGAGCGUCGGUUCUGAUCCGUAAAGCGCCGCUGAUCCUCUGCCAGAACAUCUCGCCUUCGUUGUUCGCUCUUCAUACGCCACAUCUGCGGCCCACUUCAAUGUUAAUGUCGACCGACGUCGCAUCUGUAAUGCUGCCCGUGAGCCGCGGGAUCCUGGAGCGCGACAGGGACCUGGACUCGGGUUCGGCGGCGGUUCGGGGCAUGAAGCGCGGGGACCCGGAGCCGGAGGGCGCCGCGGCGGCGGGGGAUUCGGUCGGGGCUGAGUGCAAACGAGCGCGGAUGGACGGAACCGGAGACAUCGGACAGGGUUCACAGGACGCGAUGGGAGCUCCGGAGGGCGUCGUGGCUCCGUUCUCCUCCUUCCCUCCCCCUCCGCCUCCUCCCCCUCAGAACGGCCUGGCGCUGGAGUUCGGGGGCGGCAGCAUUUACCCCGCAGGGGGGCAAACGGAGGCCCCGGCAGGAGUCAGCAGCACCCCCUCCUCUAACCCCAGCACUCAACUGUCAGACGGCUCUCCUCAGGCAGAAGGUCAGUGUGUUUCUGCCGGCGGUUCGGGCAGUGACGACUCCUCCGAGGCCAAAGGAACCCCGAAACGGCUCCACGUGUCCAACAUCCCCUUCCGCUUCAGAGACCCAGACCUGCGGCAGAUGUUCGGGCAAUUUGGAAAGAUUCUGGAUGUGGAGAUCAUUUUCAAUGAGAGGGGCUCAAAGGGUUUUGGUUUUGUGACGUUUGAGUCCAGUGCAGACGCAGAGAAAGCGCGAGAGCGUCUCCACGGGACCAUCGUGGAGGGACGAAAGAUCGAGGUCAACAACGCCACAGCUCGAGUGAUGACCAAUAAGAAGUUGGUUAGCCCGUACGCUAACGGAGAAGGUCUCAGCACGCUGCCCUACGCUGGGUGGAAACUGAGUCCUAUGAUGGGCGCCAUGUACGGACCGGAGCUCUAUGCAGUUCCAGGGUUUCCAUAUCCCACUGCCGCCGCCGCAGCUGCCGCCUCCACAGCUGCGACCUUCAGAGGGGCUCAUCACCUGCGGGGUCGCGGGCGGCCCGUCUACGGAGCCGUGCGCGCCGCCGUUCCGCAGCCCGCCAUUCCGGCCUACCCAGGUGUGGUGUACCAGGAUGGGUUUUAUGGAGCUACAGAACUGUAUAAUAGUGUUUCAGGACACUCUGGUUAGUAGCAGAAUGCCUCAGGUAGGCUCACAGACGGAUAGUGUGCAUCUCUCCUUCUGAUUAAUACAUUUGUUUGAUAUUGAUCGUGUGAGAUUGCUGUCUCUGUUUCCCUACUAACUCACAGUAAUCUGACAGGAGUGAGGGCUGGAAGGGGGAGAAAGAAAUUCUGCUUGAAUUCUGCACAUUUCCUCUCUAAACGAUUCAGAGCGCAUGAAAAAUUUGGCAGCAGCAUCAAACGUCACAGCGGCGACUCCUACUAGGGAAAAUACCAAAAAACAGCGGUCGUAGGGCUGGGCGGUACGGCCACAAACCCGUCUCACUGUACCCGUGAUUUUUAGCUGUGUAUGUCGUGAUUUACUUCUAUUUUACUUCAAGGGAAUUCGAUAUAAAACGGUUUAUGUGAUCACGUGGCAGGUGCUUCAUCUCAUUUUUCAGAUUAUUCAGACUCAAAACGUUUGAUUUGAUGAGCCACCGGCGAUAGCAAACACCUGUGACAUCCGUUUAAUCGCGUAUGACAGUUUGUUUGCGUUGCUCAUGAAACGCUGAAACGUUUUUUAAAUACUUUUUAUCCUCCUUGACUUGCUCGUUCAGUUUAUUAAAACUGCAUUGAGCAAAAACACACCAGCACAGCGUAACAACGGUACGUCUCGAUCUCGAGCGCCGUGCCGCCCAGCCCUCAGCGGUAGAUUAUUUACACUUCUGAGAAUGUAAAUAAUUGUCUGGCGCUGUUUUUCAGCCGAAUGACUUCCUGCAGGUCUUUUGUUGUGCAUCACUGAUAUUUGAGACGAUAGUUUUAAGGACUCUGGAUGUUUUGGGUUUUGUCAGACUGGAUCUGAUUCUGUCCCCUUCCCAGAGUCCCUGUCUCUCUCUAUACGGCAUGUUAACUCGAUCUGUGUUGGCAUGCAAUCACACUUAAUUCCCUCGUAGAUCUCUCUCUCUCUCUGUUAUUCUCUCUCUCUUCUCUGCUUACCUUGACUUUCCAUCAGUGAUUCACUCUACUCCGCUUACCUUCAUUUUCAAGUCACCUGCUUCUCUUCCUGUCACCUCAGCCCAUCUCUCUCUCUCUCUCUCUCUCUCUCUCUCUCUCUCUGUCUUGCCUCCCUCCGCGGCUGCGCUCUUGCAGGAGUGCGAGGGAUCGUGGGAGAGUUUCCUGAUUGGCCGUAGGGUAGAAUGCUGAGGAGAGAAUGGCGGAAAUGGCUUGUUAUUGUAUUGAGUUUGGGGUGCAUGCUGUCUGUGUGGUUGUGUGGAUGUUCUCCUAAUCUCACUAUCUGUCUGUCUGUCUGAAUACGGCACCAGUAAUCGAUUGGAUCACCCCUGGUUGUGUGUAGCUGUGCGUUCGGGGGUGACGAUGACACUGACGCUAAUGCACUCACGAUCCCCAUUUCUGCUUGUGUCUCCCUCUUUGACAAACAAACCACCGAUUCUUAAUCACUAGAGAAACGACUCCCAUUCUACCAUGACUGUGCAUUGUUUGCCACUGAGGAAGAUUCACAGUGCGUAACAGACCUACGUACGGUUCUCCGAAUGCGGUUUAUGUUUGACUGAACAUCAGUGGCAGAUUGCUUGUUAAUGGACUUUAGGUUUGCUUUCUUGAACGUUUUCAUGUCCUUUUUUCCCUGCUAACUCACCACUUCACCUGCCUCUUCGUUCCGGUGCUCUUUUUAAAUGCAUCUGUUUUUUUGUCUUUGUAGAGCGGCUAUACCGCGUACCGCUACACCCAGCCGGCGGCCGUAGCGAGUCCGACAGCGGCGGCGGCGGCGGCGGCCGCCGCCUACAGUGACAGCUACGGCCGCGUGUACGCAGCAGAUCCGUACGCGGCUGCG